ACUCAAUAGAUACCCAGGUAGUCCACGCCCUAAACGAUGUCUACUAGUUGUCGGGUCUUAAUUGACUUGGUAAACGCAGCUAAACGCGUGAAGUAGACCGCCUGGGGAGUACGGUCGCAAGAUUAAAACUCAAAGGAAUUGACGGGGACCCGCACAAGCGGUGGAUGAUGUGGAUUAAAUUCGAUGCAACGCGAAAAACCUUACCUACCCUUGACAUGGAAGGAAUCCCUGAGAGAUCGGGGAGUGCUCGAAAGAGAACCUUUACACAGGUGCUGCAUGGCUGUCGUCAGCUCGUGUCGUGAGAUGUUGGGUUAAGUCCCGCAACGAGCGCAACCCUUGUCAUUAGUUGCUACGAAAGGGCACUCUAAUGAGACUGCCGGUGACAAACCGGAGGAAGGUGGGGAUGACGUCAAGUCCUCAUGGCCCUUAUGGGUAGGGCUUCACACGUCAUACAAUGGUACAUACAGAGGGCCGCCAACCCGCGAGGGGGAGCUAAUCCCAGAAAGUGUAUCGUAGUCCGGAUUGUAGUCUGCAACUCG
This 539-nucleotide ribosomal RNA is filed under the name uncultured bacterium. RNAcentral describes it as "bacterial SSU rRNA". It matches the Rfam family "Bacterial small subunit ribosomal RNA", at positions 772 to 1314 of the family's 1533-position model. The record is from RNAcentral.